AGCACCACAACAGGUGGAGCCUGCGGUUUAAUCGGACUCAACGCCGGGAAACUCACCAGAUAAGACAGCUGAAUGAUAGUCGGGCCGAAGACUCUACUUGACUAGCUGAGAGGAGGUGCAUGGCCGUCGUCAGUUCGUACUGUGAAGCAUCCUGUUAAGUCAGGCAACGAGCGAGACCCACGCCAACAGUUGCCAGCUCGUCCUCCGGGAUGGUGGGGACACUGUUGGGACCGCCUCUGCUAAAGAGGAGGAAGGAAUGGGCAACGGUAGGUCAGCAUGCCCCGAAUUAUCCGGGCUACACGCGGGCUACAAUGGUCAGGACAAUGGGUAUCGACACCGAGAGGUGGAGGCAAUCUCCUAAACCUGUCCUUAGUUCGGAUUGUGGGCUGCAACUCGCCCACAUGAAGCUGGAAUCCGUAGUAAUCGCGUUUCAAAAUAGCGCGGUGAAUAUGUCCCUGCUCCUU
This 464-nucleotide ribosomal RNA is filed under the name uncultured Methanolinea sp. Its description in RNAcentral is "bacterial SSU rRNA". It matches the Rfam family "Archaeal small subunit ribosomal RNA", at positions 875 to 1338 of the family's 1478-position model. The record is from RNAcentral. Lineage: Archaea; Methanobacteriati; Methanobacteriota; Methanomicrobia; Methanomicrobiales; Methanoregulaceae.